UGCGCAGGCGGCUUUGUAAGUCAGAUGUGAAAUCCCCGGGCUUAACCUGGGAAUUGCGUUUGAAACUACAAGGCUAGAGUGUGGCAGAGGGAGGUGGAAUUCCAUGUGUAGCAGUGAAAUGCGUAGAGAUAUGGAAGAACAUCGAUGGCGAAGGCAGCCUCCUGGAUUAACACUGACGCUCAUGCACGAAAGCUGGGAGCAAACA
RNAcentral lists this ribosomal RNA (205 nucleotides) under uncultured bacterium. RNAcentral's name for it is "partial 16S ribosomal RNA". It matches the Rfam family "Bacterial small subunit ribosomal RNA", at positions 568 to 774 of the family's 1533-position model. The record is from RNAcentral.